ACUUCUUAGAGGGACUGAGGUCAUUUAGGCCUACGAGAUUGAGCAAUAACAGGUCUGUGAUGCCCUUAGAUGUUCGGGGCUGCACGCGCGCUACACUGUAGGAAUCAACGUGCUUAUGGUCCUGAGCCGAAAGGUUUGGGUAACCCGUUGAAACUCCUACGUGCUUGGGAUAGGGAAUUGUAAUUAUUUCCCUUAAACGAGGAAUUCCUAGUAAGUGUGGGUCAUCAUCUCGCGUUGAUUACGUCCCUGCCCUUUGUACUGAGCG
RNAcentral lists this ribosomal RNA (265 nucleotides) under Anticomidae sp. ELE042. RNAcentral's name for it is "partial small subunit ribosomal RNA". It matches the Rfam family "Eukaryotic small subunit ribosomal RNA", at positions 1406 to 1665 of the family's 1831-position model. Lineage: Eukaryota; Metazoa; Nematoda; Enoplea; Enoplida; Anticomidae. The record is from RNAcentral.